RNAcentral lists this small RNA (596 nucleotides) under Histoplasma capsulatum var. duboisii H88. RNAcentral describes it as "Histoplasma capsulatum H88 hypothetical RNA". The record is from RNAcentral. Lineage: Eukaryota; Fungi; Ascomycota; Eurotiomycetes; Onygenales; Ajellomycetaceae.
GGCUCAGCUAGGCGAGAAGAAGGCGAAGGAACUUCUCGAGCAUGUUGCCAUGAAUAAAGCUGUCUAUUAUAGUCCAAUGGAGAUAUUCGACAUACCGUUUCCCGACGGAGUGACCCAUGGUAGAAUUCCGGAGCAUUGUUGUUACAUGAGAAGUGCCGACAUUACCCCUUCAACAAUCCAUUACGAUAUCCCAUCUGUUGAUACCUCGAAUCGCGUAUUCCGCUACCAUCGAGAGCAUGCAGACCGCUUUCUCCGUGUUCGAUUCUGUGAUGAGAAGUACAUGGGCAGGAUAUACUCCAAUAGCAACGGUAACAACCUGUGUAUGUCGGAAGUUUACGCACGAGUCACGCGCAUAUUGCAACACGGGAUCAUAAUAGGCGAUCGGCACUACGAGUUUCUCGCAUUCGGCAAUUCCCAAUUUAGGGAACAUGGGGCAUUUUUCUUUGCUUCUCUGCCACAUCUCACGGCUGCCAACAUCCGUGCUCAGAUGGGCGAUUUGAAUAAUAUCAAAGUCGUUGCCAAAUACGCAGCGCGACUGGGACAAUGCUUUUCUACGACUCGCGCAGUCACUAGCUGUCCAGUACAAUUAAAGGAGG